Molecule: ribosomal RNA, 496 nt
Filed under: uncultured bacterium
Lineage: Bacteria
Description: bacterial SSU rRNA
Rfam family: Bacterial small subunit ribosomal RNA
Source: RNAcentral
AUUGAACGCUGGCGGAAUGCUUUACACAUGCAAGUCGAACGGUAGAGGGGGCAACCCCUUGAGAGUGGCGAACGGGUGAGUAAUAUAUCGGAACGUGCCCAGUCGUGGGGAUAACGUAGCGAAAGUUACGCUAAUACCGCAUACGAUCUAAGGAUGAAAGCGGGGGAUCGCAAGACCUCGCGCGAUUGGAGCGGCCGAUAUCAGAUUAGGUAGUUGGUGAGGUAAAGGCUCACCAAGCCAACGAUCUGUAGCUGGUCUGAGAGGACGACCAGCCACACUGGAACUGAGACACGGUCCAGACUCCUACGGGAGGCAGCAGUGGGGAAUUUUGGACAAUGGACGCAAGUCUGAUCCAGCCAUUCCGCGUGCAGGAUGAAGGCCCUCGGGUUGUAAACUGCUUUUGUACGGAACGAAAAGGUUUCUAUUAAUACUAGGAGCUCAUGACGGUACCGUAAGAAUAAGCACCGGCUAACUACGUGCCAGCAGCCGCGGUAAA